This is an unclassified non-coding RNA of Mustela putorius furo (domestic ferret), 329 nucleotides long. Its record names the gene 7SK. It matches the Rfam family "7SK RNA". From Rfam's summary of the family: 7SK was discovered as an abundant small nuclear RNA in the mid-70s but a possible function has only recently been suggested. Two independent studies have found that 7SK RNA binds the CDK9/cyclin T complex (known as elongation factor P-TEFb). Lineage: Eukaryota; Metazoa; Chordata; Mammalia; Carnivora; Mustelidae. The record is from Ensembl.
GGAUGUGAGGGCGAUCUGGCUGUGACAUCUGUUACCCCAUUGAUCGCCAGGGUUGAUUCGGCAGAUCUGGCUGGCUAGGCGGGUGUCCCCUUCCUCCCUCACCGCUCCAUGUGCUUCCCUCCCGAAGCUGCAUGCUCCGUCGAAGAGGACGACCUUCCCCGAUAGAAGACAGUACCCUUCUUCGGGUCAAAGGUAUACGAGUAGCUGCGCUCCCCUGCUAGAACCUCCAAACAAGCUCUCAAAUCUGUUAGACAGCAGUUAUUUGUUAUAUAAAUUAGUUCUCAUCUUACAACUUCAAAAUUAAUAUCACUCUUUUUUAGAAUUUAUUA